RNAcentral lists this unclassified non-coding RNA (254 nucleotides) under Haliotis rubra (blacklip abalone). Its description in RNAcentral is "uncharacterized LOC124285061, transcript variant X3". The record is from RNAcentral. Lineage: Eukaryota; Metazoa; Mollusca; Gastropoda; Lepetellida; Haliotidae.
CAACGUUUGCCUCACAGUUCGCUCAUCUCCAGAUACUAUCACCAUGACUUCGUACACUCAAGCUCUUGACCUCGUGAUCAGGUUCCCUUUGAACUUUGACAUCUGGGCCCCUCCUCGCCAAGUAGAAGAUAAGUGUCGCCCGUCUCGUAACAGAUCACCGAACAUCCGUAGUCCAAGAGUAUCUCUCCAGUUGAUGUGUAUCGCGCCUGUUAUAAACAUGUAACAGUGAAACAUUGUAAUAAACUUAUAAAGCC